Rhagoletis zephyria (snowberry fruit fly) is the source of this 699-nucleotide long non-coding RNA. RefSeq lists it as uncharacterized. The record is from RefSeq and is a predicted model, not a curated record. NCBI's taxonomy places the organism in Eukaryota, Metazoa, Arthropoda, Insecta, Diptera, Tephritidae.
CGAUGGAUUCUGUGAUAGCCCUGAAUAUUCUUAAUCAUAAAAAAGAUUUCGGUAUUGAGGUUGAUGGAAUUUUUUCGCAACUGCUCAUGGCAAGGGGGCAUGCGACGGGAUUGGGUGGACUGUUAAGAGACGCGCAAAAGAAGUAAGCAUGCAGCGUGUAGAUGGCGAUCACAUUACGUCUCCGCUACAGCUUUUUGAGUGGGCCAAACUUUCUUUCAAAAAAUCAGUUUCGAUUUCUGUACAGAAAAAGAACACGACUUGCAUGCGCGAAAACUUCGUUCUCGUUUCGAAAAAGCGACGACUCUCAAAAACACGCGCCAGUACCACUUUUAUCAACCUUUAGAUGAUAAAACAAUUGUCGGCAAAAUUUUUUCGGCAGAUGAUGUAAGCACACUCCAUGAAGUUCUCUAAGAUGUGACUAAAUUUGUGGACCGAUAUUUUAAGUCUGAAGAUAAACACGAAUACACAAUUAAUUUCAUUUCAUGAGUUGUAUUAUUAAUUUUUAGAUAAAAUGUGAUUAUUUGUUAACAGCACUCUUACAUGACGUGUAUUAGCACAUGUAAAUGCUACUUCUUUGUAUCUACUCGUAUGUACCAUAUAUUAGAACGCACCAGAAAAGUAGCAUUUACAUAUGCAAAUACAUAUCGUGUAAGAGCGCUACAAGGAAAGUAUAUGUAAGAAUAAGAUUUUAUAACCUUU